GAUAAGAACGCAGCGAAAUGCGAUAAGUAGUGUGAAUUGCAGAAUUCAGUGAAUCAUCGAAUCUUUGAACGCACAUUGCGCCCUUUGGUAUUCCUUAGGGCAUGCCUGUUCGAGCGUCAUUUCAACCCUCAAGCCCUGCUUGGUGUUGGGCGUUUGUCCUGCCUCCGCGCGGGACUCGCCUCAAAGACAUUGGCGGCCGGUUUCCCUUUGCAGGCCACGAGCGCAGCACAGCGAGCGCUCUACGUGGACGCGGGGUCGGCGCACCAGAAGCCCUCUUUCUCGAAUUUUGACCUCGGAUCAGGUAGGGAUACCCGCUGAACUUAAGCAUAUCAAUAAGCGGAGGA
This 344-nucleotide unclassified non-coding RNA is filed under the name soil metagenome. RNAcentral describes it as "partial contains 5.8S ribosomal RNA, internal transcribed spacer 2, and large subunit ribosomal RNA". The stretch from base 4 to 119 matches the Rfam family "5.8S ribosomal RNA", at positions 39 to 154 of the family's 154-position model. The record is from RNAcentral.